This 269-nucleotide ribosomal RNA is filed under the name uncultured prokaryote. RNAcentral's name for it is "partial 16S ribosomal RNA". It matches the Rfam family "Bacterial small subunit ribosomal RNA", at positions 524 to 792 of the family's 1533-position model. The record is from RNAcentral.
GACGGAGGUGGCGAGCGUUAUUCGGAAUCACUGGGCAUAAAGGGCACGUAGGCUGUUUGACAGGUCAAGGGUGAAAUCCCCCGGCUUAACCGGGGAACUGCCUUUGAAACCGUCAGACUAGAGCGGAAAAGGGGAGAGAGGAACUCGCAGUGGAGCGGUGAAAUGCGUAGAUAUUGCGAGGAACGCCGGUGGCGAAAGCGUCUCUCUGGUUUCUUGCUGACGCUGAGGUGCGAAAGCUAGGGGAGCGAACGGGAUUAGAUACCCCAGUA